This 314-nucleotide long non-coding RNA is filed under the name Daucus carota (carrot). RNAcentral describes it as "long non-coding RNA (DCAR_LNC003749)". The record is from RNAcentral. Lineage: Eukaryota; Viridiplantae; Streptophyta; Magnoliopsida; Apiales; Apiaceae.
UUAUAUAAUAUAUAAUAAAAAUAUAAUAUUUAUUAUAUAUUAUUAUAUAUAACAUAUUAUAUAUAUGUGUGUGAUACAAUAUAUUAUUUAUAUAGUUUAAUAAGAGAAAUUGAUAUUAUAAGUAUAUAAAUAUUUUUCUAAAAUUAAAAAUAGUAUUAAAUUUGUAUAUACUAGUUUAUAAUCAUAUAAAAACCGGAAAAAACCGAAACCGACCAACGGUUAACCGAACCGGAAAAAACCGUUUCAAACGGUUCGGUUACGGUUUCUACCUAAAAACCGAACCGAACCGAAAUACACGGUUCGGUAACGGUUUU